GAUUAACGCUGGCGGUAUGUCUAAUACAUGCAAGUCGAACGCGUCCUUGUGACGAGUGGCGAACGGCUGAGUAACACAUUGGUAUCUGCCCCGAACUCAGGGAUAACCCACCUAACGGUGGACUAAUACCGGAUAGUCCCGCAAGGGUAAAGAUUUUUCGGUUCGGGAGGAGCCUGUGGCCUAUCAGUUUGUUGGUGAGGUAAUAGCUCACCAAGACUAUGACGGGUAGCUGGUCUGAGAGGAUGAUCAGCCAGAAUGGGACUGAGACACGGCCCAUACUCCUACGGGAGGCAGCAGUAAAGAAUCUUUCGCAAUGGGGGAAACCCUGACGAAGCAAUACCGCGUGGAUGAUGAAGGUCGUAAGAUCGUAAAAUCCUUUUCUGAGGGAAUAAAUAUGAAGGUACCUCAGGAAUAAGCACCGGCUAACUACGUGCCAGCAGCCGCGGUAAUG
Molecule: ribosomal RNA, 451 nt
Filed under: uncultured bacterium
Lineage: Bacteria
Description: bacterial SSU rRNA
Rfam family: Bacterial small subunit ribosomal RNA
Source: RNAcentral